Molecule: transfer RNA, 77 nt
Filed under: Eubacteriales Family XIII. Incertae Sedis bacterium
Lineage: Bacteria; Bacillati; Bacillota; Clostridia; Peptostreptococcales; Anaerovoracaceae
Description: tRNA-Arg
Rfam family: tRNA
About the family: Transfer RNA (tRNA) molecules are approximately 80 nucleotides in length. Their secondary structure includes four short double-helical elements and three loops (D, anti-codon, and T loops).
Source: RNAcentral
GCGCCUGUAGCUCAGAUGGAUAGAGCGUCAGACUCCGACUCUGAAGGCCGCAGGUUCGACCCCUGUCAGGCGUACCA